Molecule: small RNA, 91 nt
Filed under: Rhizobium leguminosarum
Lineage: Bacteria; Pseudomonadati; Pseudomonadota; Alphaproteobacteria; Hyphomicrobiales; Rhizobiaceae
Description: sRNA ar35
Rfam family: Alphaproteobacterial sRNA ar35
Source: RNAcentral
AUUGCAAUACCCGCUUGCUCCUUGACCACGGAUGAACUGGCACUGAGAUGAGCGGAUGACGAAAGGCCGGGUCGAACCGGCCUUUUUGUUU